Molecule: long non-coding RNA, 92 nt
Organism: Telopea speciosissima
Lineage: Eukaryota; Viridiplantae; Streptophyta; Magnoliopsida; Proteales; Proteaceae
Exons: 3
Source: RefSeq, a predicted model, not a curated record
CAUUCCAUGAUAAGACAAUGUAAAACUAAGACAAUUACAGACUGUUUUGAUCCUAGAUCCAAAUUGAGUUUUGAUAGAACGACUUUACCAAA